GCUUUUUGUCCGUUGCUUUUUGUCCGUUUUGCUUUUUAGCUCACCUGGACCAUAGGACUAAGUGAGCUUUUCCUAUUUUCUCAUUAUUCGUCGUCGUCAUUAAUUUUUACAAAAAUCUUCUCUUCUGAAACUACUGGCAAAAUUAAAGCAAACAUGGCCAAAAUCAUCCUUAGGGUAUUUAGUUUCAAAAAAAGAUCCGAUGACCCCGCCCAAUAAUUAAGAUGGCCAGAAUGUCUAAAAGAAGAGCAUCGCAUAAAAUGUAGAUUUUGGCUUAUAUAUCUGAAACAAAAC
Molecule: long non-coding RNA, 291 nt
Filed under: Mytilus galloprovincialis (Mediterranean mussel)
Lineage: Eukaryota; Metazoa; Mollusca; Bivalvia; Mytilida; Mytilidae
Source: RNAcentral